RNAcentral lists this ribosomal RNA (425 nucleotides) under uncultured bacterium. RNAcentral's name for it is "bacterial SSU rRNA". It matches the Rfam family "Bacterial small subunit ribosomal RNA", at positions 359 to 776 of the family's 1533-position model. The record is from RNAcentral.
GAAUAUUGCACAAUGGGGGAAACCCUGAUGCAGCCAUGCCGCGUGUGUGAAGAAGGCCUUCGGGUUGUAAAGCACUUUCAGCGAGGAGGAAAGGAUGCUGGCUAAUAUCCAGCAUCUGUGACGUUACUCGCAGAAGAAGCACCGGCUAACUCCGUGCCAGCAGCCGCGGUAAUACGGAGGGUGCAAGCGUUAAGCGGAAUUACUGGGCGUAAAGCGCACGCAGGCGGUUGGAUAAGUUAGAUGUGAAAGCCCCGGGCUCAACCUGGGAAUUGCAUUUAAAACUGUCCAGCUAGAGUCUUGUAGAGGGGGGUAGAAUUCCAGGUGUAGCGGUGAAAUGCGUAGAGAUCUGGAGGAAUACCGGUGGCGAAGGCGGCCCCCUGGACAAAGACUGACGCUCAGGUGCGAAAGCGUGGGGAGCAAACAGG